RNAcentral lists this ribosomal RNA (527 nucleotides) under Clostridium botulinum. Its description in RNAcentral is "bacterial LSU rRNA". It matches the Rfam family "Bacterial large subunit ribosomal RNA", at positions 1 to 524 of the family's 2925-position model. The record is from RNAcentral. Lineage: Bacteria; Bacillati; Bacillota; Clostridia; Eubacteriales; Clostridiaceae.
AAUUUUAAGGUCAAGCUACAAAGGGCGCAUGGUGAAUGCCUUGGCACUAGGAGCCGAAGAAGGACGCGAUAAGCUGCGAUAAGCCUUGGGUAGCCGCAAAUAGGCUGAGAUCCAGGGAUUUCCGAAUGAGGAAACUCACAUGGGUAACCCCAUGUAUCAUGCACUGAAUACAUAGGUGUAUGAGGGUAAACCCGGGGAACUGAAACAUCUAAGUACCCGGAGGAAGAGAAAGAAAAAUCGAUUUCCUAAGUAGCGGCGAGCGAACGGGAAAGAGCCCAAACCAGAAACUUGUUUCUGGGGUUGUGGAUAGAUCAUAAAAGAAGAGGUAUCUUAAUCGAAGAGGGCUGGAACGCCCUACCAUAGAAGGUAAUAGUCCUGUAGAUAAAAAGAGAAAACUUUAAGAUCUAAUCCAGAGUACCACGAGACACGUGAAACCUUGUGGGAAGCAGGGAGGACCACCUCCCAAGGCUAAAUACUACCUAGUGACCGAUAGUGAAGCAGUACCGUGAGGGAAAGGUGAAAAGAAC